This 253-nucleotide ribosomal RNA is filed under the name uncultured bacterium. RNAcentral's name for it is "partial 16S ribosomal RNA". It matches the Rfam family "Bacterial small subunit ribosomal RNA", at positions 524 to 776 of the family's 1533-position model. The record is from RNAcentral.
UACGUAGGGUGCAAGCGUUAAUCGGAAUUACUGGGCGUAAAGCGGGCGCAGGCGGUUCUAUAAGACAGAUGUGAAAUCCCCGGGCUCAACCUGGGAACUGCAUUUGUGACUGUAGAGCUGGAGUACGGCAGAGGGGGAUGGAAUUCCGCGUGUAGCAGUGAAAUGCGUAGAUAUGCGGAGGAACACCGAUGGCGAAGGCAGUCCCCUGGGCCUGUACUGACGCUCAUGCACGAAAGCGUGGGGAGCAAACAGG